Tachysurus vachellii is the source of this 5731-nucleotide RNA transcript. It is a transcript of the gene named unc-51 like autophagy activating kinase 2, with no coding region annotated. NCBI's taxonomy places the organism in Eukaryota, Metazoa, Chordata, Actinopteri, Siluriformes, Bagridae. The transcript is spliced from 29 exons. The record is from RefSeq and is a predicted model, not a curated record.
CAGGAAGAGUCGGUCAGUGUGAUGCUGGGACCCUGAGAAACAGCAAGAGCCUGAUAAUGUCUUCUUUAGUUUAUUUAUUAUAUUACAGCGAAUAAAGAAAGGCGCUCGGUUAAAGAUAUAGGACGGAAUUAAUCCUGUCUUGUGAGGACUGAAGAAACUAAACAAAAAAAAAAAAAAAAAACAACAACAAAACAAACCCGAGCUGAAUAAUAAACACCCAGCUGGUUGUGUGGAUACGUUAAAGACCAUCAAUGUUUUUUCCGUUAUUUUCCUUUAACGGACUGUAAUCGGUAUCUAUUCUGUUUCUGUGACACUGAUACGUUACUGCACGUUUAAAUCUAACGAGCGUUGAAGCUUUAAAAAUGAUCUUUAACAUCGCACAACGAUUCUGUCCGCUUUAUUGUGACCUUUGGACGGUCUGAAUCCUGCUAUGGGCUUCACACUGACCCUGAGCUCCAGAGUCACAGACCACCUCCUCCGACACCAUGUAGAAGUCCGUGUUUGUCGACUGGUUAGCGAAGGGAACACAAAGCAGCGGUUAGCUCAAUGCUAACUGGGUCAGAAAAAUGACAGCUUAGGCCACUAGCCUUCAACUCCCCAUCUAUUAUUACUGCAUUCUGCUGUUAGCUAACGCCUGCUCGCUUCAAUACACCACAAAGGUCCUCCUGGUCCAUUUGCUCUGUAUUAUCCACACACUUUGGACAGAAAUAUGGAGACGGUUGGAGACUUCGAGUACAGCCGAAAAGACCUGAUAGGACACGGAGCCUUCGCGGUCGUUUUCAAGGGAAGACAUAAAAAGAAGACAGAGUGGGAGGUGGCCAUCAAGAGCAUUAACAAAAAGAACCUCUCCAAGUCUCAGAUUUUGCUUGGGAAGGAGAUAAAAAUUUUGAAGGAGCUGCAGCAUGAGAACAUUGUGGCGCUUUAUGAUGUCCAGGAAACACCAAAUUUUGUUUUCCUUGUAAUGGAGUUUUGUAACGGAGGAGAUCUGGCAGACUAUUUACAAGCUAAGGGCACUUUGCGGGAGGACACACUGAGGGUCUUCCUCCAGCAGAUCGCAGCAGCCAUGCGUGUUCUCAACAACAAGGGUAUCAUCCACCGUGACCUCAAACCCCAGAACAUUCUCCUGUCCUACACUAGCCGCAAGAAAUCCAGUGUCAGUGGCAUUCGAAUUAAAAUUGCUGACUUUGGCUUUGCACGAUAUCUUCAAAGUAACAUGAUGGCAGCUACUCUGUGUGGUUCACCUAUGUACAUGGCUCCAGAAGUAAUAAUGUCCCAGAACUAUGAUGCCAAAGCAGACCUGUGGAGCAUCGGGACUGUUAUUUAUCAGUGUCUCGUCGGGAAGCCACCUUUUCAGGCGAACAGCCCACAAGACCUGAGGAUGUUCUAUGAGAAAAAUAAGACACUGGUGCCAAACAUCCCAAGGGAAACAUCUCCCCCCCUUGCUGAACUACUGUUGGGUUUACUACAGAGGAAUCAGAAGGACCGAAUGGAUUUUGACACAUUCUUCAGCCAUCCCUUCUUGGAGCAAACAUCAAACAUCAAAAAAUCUUGCCCUGUGCCAGUUCCUGCAUGCCCUAGCUCCGUAUUGGAGAGCACUUGUGGCAGCUCGCCCUCCUGCCGUUAUGCCUCACCUCCGUCGUUGCCAGACAUGCAGACCCUGCCUGAAGACGUGCUUUCCUCUCCACCUCUCGGCCCUCCCAACUACCUACAGCUGUCUAAAGAGUCGGGUGGCAGCACCAGCAGCAAGAACUCCUCUUGUGAUACAGAUGACUUUGUGCUGGUGCCUCACCUGUCUGGAGAACAGUCCUAUGACAUGCCAAUGGGGGCCAUUGGUCGUAGACCAUCCAGUGAGUUUCUGCUGUGUGGAGGGCAACCCUCAACAGGCCAGAACCCUGUGGUGUCACCUCGAACUGAGACCACUCCUAUACCUGUGCCCACUCAGGUGCGCAACUACCAGCGGAUCAAGCAGAACCUCUCCAGCAGCCCGAGCACCACUCUCUAUGGUUCACCAAGGUCUGGUACAGUAAGGCGUUCUAACACCAGCCCUAUGGGAUUUCCAAAAACUGCCUCUGGAUCCCCCAGCCCUGCUGAUGCUGCCCAGACUGUGGGUCGAAGACUCUCCACUGGUAGCUCUCGCCCCUAUUCACCUUCUCCACUGGUGGCUACUAUUCCUGAACAGCUGGGUCACUGUUGUUGUGGACAUCCCCACAGCCAUGAGGCACGCAGCCGCAGCUCAUCUGGUGGUUCCCCUGUGCCCACGUCUCAAUUGCUGGGUGCCCGACUCCAGAGCGCACCCACCCUGACCGAUUUCUACCAAAACAAGCAGAAGCUGCACAAGCAGCUCUCCGAUCCUCUUCAGCCUACUGCCAUAGCCUAUGCCCCAACACACUCACCACAGCUGGGACGCCCUGGCAACCUGGGGACAUCUCCCACCAAGCAUCUUGGUUCCUCUCCCCGCACAUCUGAUUGGCUACAGAAAUCCCCCCUCCCCACUAUCAUUGGUUCACCAACUAAGACAACUGCUCCCUUUAAAAUCCCUAAAACUCAGGCCUCAUGCAACCUCAUGGCCUUGGCUUCGCAACAGGGCAUAGUGGACAGCCCCAAUUCCAGUAAGAUGUCUACUGAUGCCCGGGAGAUUUGCCCCCAUCACUGGUCACCGUACCCCAGCGGGAGACACUCGGCUUCAGAAAGUUCCAAAACAACUUUUGGCAGGUCUGUGAGUACAGGGCGUUUGUCAGAGCAGCCGGUAAGAAUCGCUCUGGGAGGACAGACAUACCAAGGCAGUACAGACAGCCUCAACACAGAGAGACCCAUGGACACAGCCCCUGCAGGGUCAUGUGGUUUGGCAGUGGGGGGUUCGAGUCCUCGUACUGUAGUGUUCACAGUAGGCUCGCCCCCCAACAGCAGCACCCCUCCCGCUUGCAGUCACCUGAGCACACGCCCUCGCACCACAUCAGUGGGGUCCAACAGUUCAGCAGGCUCUGUGUAUUCCACCAGUGGAAAGGUAUGCAUGGGCUCUCCUCCUGCUAUGGCCAUGGGUAGUUCUCCCCCUGGGGCGGAAGCAGCCCCUAGCAGCCUACGCUAUGUCCCCUACGGCACCUCUCCACCAAGCCUUGAUGGGUUUAUCACUUUUGAGGCCCCUGAGCUCCCAGAGGAGACGCUGAUGGAGAGAGAACACACAGACACCUUAAUGCAUCUACGGAUGAUGCUGUCCUUUACGGACUGUGUGUUGGAGAUGGCUGCUGUGAGAGCAGGAGGAGCAGACCUUGGCAUUUCUGCAGCCUCGCUUUAUCCUCCACAGGAGAGUGUGGUGGUGGACCAGAUUAGCCAGCUCAGCAAGGAGUGGGGGCAAGUAGAGCAGCUGGUGUUGUACAUGAAGGCUGCUCAGCUGCUCGCAUCCUCACUGCACCUGGCCAAAGCUCAGAUCAAAUCUGCCAAGCUGAACCCCUCCACUGCUGUAAAACAAGUGGUUAAAAGCCUGAACGAGCGCUAUAAGAGCUGCAUCUCCCUGUGCCGCCAGCUCACGGACAAACUGAACCACUUCUUCUCAGACAAGCAGCGCUUUGUGGACGAGAUCAACAGUGUGACUGCUGAGAAGCUCAUAUACAACCAUGCUGUGGAGAUGGUCCAGUCGGCAGCGCUGGACGAAAUGUUCCAGCAGACAGAGGACAUUGCGUACCGCUAUAACAAAGCUGCUAUGCUGUUGGAAGGCCUCACUAAGAUCCUUCAUGAUCCGGCAGAUGUAGAGAACGUCACCAAGUACAAGGCGAGCGUGGAUCGGAGAAUCUCUGCGCUGUGUUACUGCACUGUCACAUUGUAUGAAUAGACCUCACACACACACGCACACACACCACUGGCCACAGGGACCAUCCUCCUUCCAGCUCACUCAGACUAGAGGAUCCCCUCACUCCUACUUCUCCAACUUCGUAGCAGCCAGAGCACUUUUCCUUUUUUAUUCUUCUUUUUCAUGAAAUCACCUGAACCAACAGAACAAGUAUUAUUUUUUCCUAUAGGACCUCUUCCACCGAAUCACUACCAAAGAUAAGCCGCAACAACAAUACACAUUCUGUUCUGAAGACAGAGGCUCUGGACUCAGUGAGCCGUUUCCUGUUCGUUUCCGCAGUUCUGCUCAGAACACCUCUUUUAGCUUUUCCCUCUUUUUACACUGAGAUCUGAUCUUUUUUUAAUGACUUUUUUAAAAUAUCGUAUUCUGUGAUGGUGUUGCAGUUAUUUAUUGGUUUUAAGAGGAUGUUAGUGUUAUGUUAUGAUCGGAUUCUCUUCGCGAGUCAGACUUGCGUUGGACUACGCUAGCACACACACGCACACGUGUUUUACUCAGCUGUCUUUAGCACGGCAGCCUGACAUUUGUAACAUAAUCUUUUUUCUUUCUUUUUUUUUUUCUUUUAAAAUCAAAUGCACUUUAUUGACACAGACAUGGAAAAGACUUGUGCUAGAACCCACAUUGAGCUAUUCUCUUUGGCUUGACUUGCUGCCUGGCUCACAAGACUGUAAAAAGAAAUUCAGACGCUUGUCAUGUGCAGGGAUGACAGUUUUCUCUGUGGUCACGAUCAGUCGUGACGUUCAUCAAAAAUAACAGACAAGAUACUUGAGUGGUUGUAGGAGUUGUCAUGGGAUUCCCUGCCACUCAAUCCAAGAGCACAAGUCAUUUUUUUUAGCAGUUUGAUACUUACCCACUACUGCCAUUCAGACUCUUAUGCAGCCCUCAAGGAAGAGACCUCAUGUUUGUCUUUGCACGGCAGCUCACAAUUCAAAGACCUGCGCUCUAUGAAGUACGUUCCUUUUGGAGUGCAGAGUCGGAUAUGGAUACGAAGCAGAAAUGCUAAUGUGAACUGUUUCUGCCGAGCAGUACGCAGCCAAGCUGGCUCAGCCUUUCCCUGGCUCUGUGUGUGUGAGAGAGAGAGAGAGAGAGUGAGAGAGAGUGAUAUUGUAUAUAUGCGUGUAUGUAUGAAACUGUAUGUAUGUGUACUGUAUAUAUAUAUAUGUGUGUGUGUGUGUGUGUGUUUGUUUGAGAGUGUAUGCAUGUGUGCGCGUGCACUUAAAGGCCAGUUUAAAAAAACUGAACUGAAAGCACUGCAAAAGCAGCCUGCUUUCACCUGUACAUGUGUUAAUAAGAACUUCCCGGUGUUCUAGAUCUACACUGGCACUGAUGCUGUCUCCAGUGUGUUCUUCUUUGUUAUCAUUUUGUGGUUAUUUUAUUCUCAGACUUUAUCUUCACAAAUCUUUUAUAGUACAGGCAGGAAAAAAAAAUGCCAGAAACAUAUUCUCCUGUUUUCUUUUAUGUCCUAUCGAAUCUGCUCACAGUUCUGUAGCCUGUAGACAAGCACAGGACGUUUCUUAGAAGUGACCGGUGUACAGAGCAGGUCAUAGUCAUGAAUGGGUAGAAUGUAGAUUCACUUGAAUUCUUGAAGUAAAUAACAUUCUGAUAUGUCUAGUGCAAUGCAAACCUUAAAGCUUCUGUAGGUUGUUUUAUUUUAUUUUUUUUAUACUGACAAUAUUGUAAUCCGUUCACCACCAACACCUCUGCUCCAUGUGGACUCAAAACUGUGGUUUAUCAGAGCCACCUGCUCGCUUUAUGCAUUGUAUCAUGUUCAUUUGUCAUCUUGCAUGGACAUAAAUAUAGAUUUUAUAACUUGGAACUUGUUACAGGGCAACCAAUAAGAACAGUAGUUCAACCCAACAUACAAAUAAAAUCAUUUCUAUAUAAUUCUAA